GGGCAUGUAGCUCAGAUGAUAGAGCGCUCGCUUAGCAUGCGAGAUGUACGGGGAUCGAUACCUCGCAUCUCUA
This 73-nucleotide transfer RNA is filed under the name Ipomoea nil (Japanese morning glory). It matches the Rfam family "tRNA". From Rfam's summary of the family: Transfer RNA (tRNA) molecules are approximately 80 nucleotides in length. Their secondary structure includes four short double-helical elements and three loops (D, anti-codon, and T loops). The record is from Rfam by way of RNAcentral. Lineage: Eukaryota; Viridiplantae; Streptophyta; Magnoliopsida; Solanales; Convolvulaceae.